Molecule: long non-coding RNA, 934 nt
Filed under: Parus major (Great Tit)
Lineage: Eukaryota; Metazoa; Chordata; Aves; Passeriformes; Paridae
Description: lncRNA (ENSPMJG00000005427.1)
Source: RNAcentral
AAAGCAGUCAAGCAGCCAAGUGCAUGAGCUCUCCAAAUGCAAUAGAAGAAAUAUAACCUAUUUUACUAGGGAGCACUCUAGUGAAACAAUCAUGUGUACUUUGAUUAGUUUCAUUAACAUAUUAUUUUUACCUUCAGUUCUAUGUACAAAUAUUUCAUAUGCAGUUAACUUACACAUAUAGUCUGAGCUUAAGGCUUCUUCCAGGUCCAGUCAGGUGAGAUUUACUGUAAAUAGGUACUAGAGCUAAAUCAAAUUAGUGUUUGGAUGAUCUUUUCAGUGAUAUUUGCCAUGUGUACCUUGAUCCUUUCCUUAGAAAUAUGAUUAAUUGUUAAAUUAUUUACUUCUCUAUGCAAAUUAGGUACUCAGUCUUUUCUGCACUUUUUGUUCUAGAAAAGAACCAAAGAAGAUACUUGGAAAGCAGAAGAACUUAGGAAACAUCUAAAGGCAUCACUACCAGAACAAAAUGAAGACCAAAAACACAGAGAGAAGAAACUGCAGAGAGAGAGGACUGUUUAUGACAUAGACCCUAACAGACGUGAACUCAGAGGCAGAGAGAAGAGCAAGGAAAGAACAAGAGAGAGAGAAAGAUUUAAAUCCAGUGAAAGGAACAGGGACAAACGGAGAGAAAGGGAACAGGAACACCAGAGAGAAGACCGAGGGAGACACAAAGAUAAGGUUCAAGAGUCAUAUUUGGAGGAGAGACAUGGUAUACUGAAACAUAAAGACAGAGAGACUGAUAGAGAACGAGACAAAAAGCACAAGACAUAUGAAAUAAAGCAAACAGAUCCACAAAAUUACCUGAAAUCAUUUGAAGGAAGAGAUACAGAACAUCACAGAAGAAGAGAAAUCAGGCAUCGUUUGGAGGAGGAGAAAGCAAGAACUGAGGAGCGAGAAAGAAGACAUAAAGCACAGAAGAACAGUGAAUACAAAAAGG